UGCACAAGCGAUUAAAAUGCGCCAAUCAUUCUCUACCGGUCCAAGUGUCGAAAUGGUAGAUGAUUCUUCAGUGACUCAUUCACACAAAAAAAUGUUCACAUUUUCACUUUCACAGUAUUGAGACAUGCUGGAAACCUCCAUGCAGGCAAGCAGGUUCAAGAAGUAGGAAGGGGGUAGAUUAUUAUUUAUUGGACCACGUCAUUCUUCUCCGAUCAGUGUGCUGUGUUAAAUCAUCAGAUCUGAUGCGUUUGAAGAAGAAGAGCAAUCCACCAGAGAUUAAGCAGUCGUGGAUGAAUGCUCGAUGUCAUCCGAGAUGUGCGUUUGACAGCCUUCCACACAUUUUGCCCCGCUAAGAAGCUCAAAGCCAAGCUGGCAACCUCCAAAGGAAGGUCAGCCAGCAGCAGACUCUGCGUGAGGACCCCAAACCUCCAGGCCCGUCCCAGUCCUUCCUUUCCAUGCAGAGGCAAUCAUCCCGCAGGAGGAAGGGAUUGCAACCCCGGUAGAAGCAUCCUAUUGGUGAGGACGGACAUGUAGGAUGGGCAUUUACUGUAUGUCCUCAUGGACACCGAAGAAAUCGAGGACGGUCCGUUUAAUUUCAUAGUGUGGUUGAUUUCAUGUGUUGCUACCCCCCUCUGCUGGCAAAUGAUGUAAUUUAUCUUUCUGCGCCUUGUGACAUGAGGUACACUAUAAUCUAAAAGGCUACUAUAAAAUGUAUCCUAGCAAAUUAUGCAAUAUAACAAUCAAUAUUCCUUG
This is a long non-coding RNA of Hippocampus zosterae (dwarf seahorse), 753 nucleotides long. RefSeq lists it as uncharacterized. The transcript has 3 exons. The record is from RefSeq and is a predicted model, not a curated record. Lineage: Eukaryota; Metazoa; Chordata; Actinopteri; Syngnathiformes; Syngnathidae.